This is a long non-coding RNA of Lutra lutra (Eurasian river otter), 3835 nucleotides long. RefSeq lists it as uncharacterized. The transcript is spliced from 3 exons. NCBI's taxonomy places the organism in Eukaryota, Metazoa, Chordata, Mammalia, Carnivora, Mustelidae. The record is from RefSeq and is a predicted model, not a curated record.
CCUGUCUGUCAAAUAAGUAAAUAAAAUCUUUAAAAAAUAAAAAAAUAAAAAGAAAUAAAUUGAAGUUUGCCUAAAGAUACAGUAGAAUGUCUUGGGAUUCCAUUACCAAAAUAGGGUUUUGGGGGAGGACUAAGAUUUUCCUAGGUUGUGCCUAGUGCCAACUGGAAUCUUUCCUGACCUGAAAUUUCGGUAACUUGAUCAAGAAAACUAAACCUUACACUAAGAGCAAUCCACAGCUUGUGGCCAAAUAGAAUUAGUCUUACUCUAUGCCUAGAAAGGGCUCAAUUAUCAGUACAGGUAAGAUUUAAAGAUCAAUCUUUUCUCUGUCCCACUGUAUCUCUCAUAAUCUCUUCCACCAUUUUUUCCCAUUUCAUUAAAAUUAGUGCCUUUACAUAGUUGUUAGUUGAUCAACUAGUAGUUUUCUAAAAUGUCCAGAAAAACAGGAUACAGAUAUUUUGAAAUGUAGGGAUUUUCCAUGGCUAUCUUGGAAAGAAAAAGGAAAUCAGGCAGAACAAUAGGUAGAGAUACUGGCUUGAAAUGAAAUAAAGGUGGCAGGGAUUUCUAGUUCAAGCAACAUGGUGGGCUAAGGUAUCAACCAUUUUCUUCCUCUAUUACAGAUUCAUUAUGCAAAUAUGUAGCACAAAAGAAGUUAAAAGUGUGACUAAGCUGGAAGGAGGGAAGGAGGGGAAGAGGAAUCAUCUAUAAGUGGGAACCAGUCAAAGCUAGCAAGCACUGUGUGGUGCUUCAGCAGCCUGGGUGAUAACAUAACUGGAAAUGGACUGUGGAGGUUAAGUACUUAAACACUCAGUUGGGGAAAGGAAGCAUGGACAUGGUUAAAGACUUGAACUCAGAGACUGGAAAACAGACCUCACCCCCAAUACUAUUUUAUCAUCUGACUCCUCCAAGGGGCUCCUGUCCCUGAAAGGGACUAGUAAAAAGGCAAUUCACAGAAAGUGCAGACAUGUGGCCAAGAAAUAUAAGAAAAACAAUAAAAAUCCUUAGCCUCUGUUUCAGUGUAGGAAAUGCAAAUGGAAAUAAUGAAUUACUGUAUCAUUCUCAUUGGAAUGGAAAAAAGUUGUAUGUCUACCUACCGCCUAUCACUUUGGAUGUGGGGAAAUGGGAGUUCUCGCACACUCCAGGCAGGCAUUUAAAUUGAUGCAGUCACUUAGGAUUGCUGCUGUGUAGUAUCCAGUGCAGCUGAAGAUGAACAUGUCCUGUGACACAGCCAUUGCUCUCCUGGAUUGAUACUUUAAAGGUUCCUUGCUCAGGGGCACAAGAAGAUAGACAAGAGGAUAUUCCUUGGGAUACCACUUAUAAUGGGCAAAAUGGAAAACCUCUAAAUCUCUAACAAUAAAAGAAUAGAUACAUAUGUUGUAAUAUAUUCAUGUAAAUGUACUAACCAGUGUUUAAGUGGAUGAAUGUAUAAAUGUAUUAACAUGAAUGAUCCAGAAAAAGGCAAGUUGUUGGAAAACAUGGUCCGAUCAUCCCAUUGAUGUAAUUUUUAAAAAUCCAGAGAACAUUAUGUUGGUUUUGGAAUUCAGCAUCUGUGGUAAAGUGUUAAAAUCUCAAUUGAAAGCUCUGUAUACCCUUCAGGAUAUUAUAGUAUGAUAAGACAGGAAGUAGAAUAGCAUUAGAAUGGGGUGAUGGAUAUGUUCUAUGGUUAUGUUUGCUUAGUUGUAUUUGCUACAUUUUAUUUAUUUUUAAAAAGAAGGAGGAUCAAAUACAUAUGCUAAAAUGAUAGUAUUUAACAUUGGAUGAUGGGUAUGUUAGUUCUCAUUCAAUAUUUUCCAACUUUUUCUGACUGUUUGAAAUGUACAUAGAAGCUUUACAUAAAUAUAUUUUCUACUAUUUUCAGACUAUCGAUAACCAGUGUUGUGGCUGGACUAGCCCCUGGAGUUUGUAUGAUUGCAAGAUGCCCUCAGCAGUAACCAUAAGGAAACUUUGGGAAAAAGAAGGCCAGCAUAGAGUAGUACUUGUGAGCCAUGUUACACCAAAAGAUGUAAGCAAGAUCGAAAAAUCCUCUGUCUUAUGGAAGAAAAACGUGUGCGAUGUUGGAAAAUAAACAGAAGUGGCUUUUAUAGUUAUCAGAGAAGACCUUUCUAUGGAUGUAGCACUGGGGUUGGAAUCUUGAAGGUAAGAAGGAUUCAGCCUUGAGAAGCAAAGAGGAACAUGCCUGGAACAGGGUAGGCUAAAAGGAAAUUGCAGUGAGGUAAGACUGCCCAGCUGAUAUAAAGCCAGAAGAUGGAAGUGGUCCAUAUACUUUCCUUCCCUGCCUGAGUGAGUACAAAAAAGUAAGUGGGGAGCUUCUUUUUGCUUUGAAUUGGCCAGGUAACAGACACCAAAAGAGUUGCUUCCUGAUCCUUUCAAGCUAUGUCUUUAAAUUUCCAUUGAGUACCGAAGAAAUCUGCAAUCUGUUUUUAAAAUUGUCAUAGGGGAUUAGUGAACUCCAUUGGCCUUUCAGAUUAGGAAACUGUGAGUACCAACAGUGAAUAACCCAGAAAGCCCGAUGGUAUUUAAAAUGGAUCCAUAUAAUGACAUAUUUUCUGUCUUUUAAAAGACUCAGAAGCAUGGCUUCAGAGCAACUUAGCUUCAAGAAAAAGAGGAAAUUAUUUCUUUGUUGUGAUUCAUGCUGAAGGGCACAAUUUCACAUUAGAGCAAAAAGUUCUGUUUUUUGCUUUUUAAAAGCAGUAUCAAAUUUAAAUAUGCUCUCUAUUGCCUGCAUACUUUUUCAAAGGCAUUCUGAGAUUCAAAUAGUAUAGCUUAUUAACUGCAUUUUCAACUUCUUUUAUGCCGAGGGGAGACAGUUUCCAUUUAAUCUAAGAAAAGUCACUAUAAUGAAAAUGGGGAUAGAAUUGCAAAUUAUAAUUCUACAGACAAGAGCAUCAUUUCAUUAUAAUGUAAAUAACCACUCCCAUGCUGUGUGGUAUACUUAACUGAAUUUGGUUAGAUGAUUAUGGCACUGGAAGGCGUCUGGAGGUGGGCAGUAAUGGGGUUCUGUUUGGUGUAGUAAAAUAUUAGGGGUUCUGGAGUCAAACAAGUCUCUCAUUCUUGCCUUUGACCUUUAGGAAGAAGACCUCCUCUGAGCUUUAAACUUGGGAAUCCAGUUUCCUUUAAUGUAACAUCUGCCAAAUUUGCCUGGUAAUAAAAAUUACCUUGGGUAAUUUUUCAGUUGACUACCAACUCUCUUAGGGAGUAGGAGAAACUCCAUUUUACUACAUAGCCAACCAUGACGUUGGAUUUAUUGUUACUUCACUACUUCUGAGUUUUCUUUAUUCAGUAUCUUAAUUUCUCAUUCAAAAGGCAUCUGAUUUGUCCUGAAGGACAGAAAACUUGUAUUUUGGAAUUCCUAAUAUAAGCCAGUUAGUAGGAUAUUUAGGUCUAGCUCCACAUGUGUUAUCACAUGAGUUCACUAGAACUAUCUCAAAAGUUGAUUUUAUUUUCUGCAUUCCUCUUUAAGGGUAAGCGAUGAAUCAUCUGAAAAUGAGUGUAUGUAGAGACUGUGUGCAUGUGGUGAAUAACUUCUGGAAGGCAUCUUGUAGUUAGAAGUCCAAAUGCUCAAUCUCCUUCAAUUUCUACACCCAAAAGGAAGAAUGAUUAUUCACGUUCAAAACGAAAAUGGAGAGACUGUGAAGUCUUAACCAUCAAAGCAAGCCUGACCAUAGAGAAUUUAAUUGAUUACUUCAACCCCAGAUAUCGCUAAGAGAUUUUCAAGGAUUUUUGAAAUAUUUCCUUGCUGUCCUUAGUUUUUAUACAUGUAUUUUUCAUGUAGUUUAACUCUAUCUAGGUAUCUAAUUUUCUCUCCUACUUUUCUUUCUGUUGUCCCCACCCCCACCUC